UGGGGAAUUUUGGACGAAUUGGGGGCAACCGUCGAUCCAGCAAUGCCGCGUGUGUGAAGAAGGCCUUCGGGUUGUAAAGCACUUUUGUCCGGAAAGAAAACGUCGUGGUUAAUACCCGUGGCGGCUGACGGUACCGGAAGAAUAAGCACCGGCUAACUACGUGCCAGCAGCCGCGGUAAUACGUAGGGUGCAAGCGUUAAUCGGAAUUACUGGGCGUAAAGCGUGCGCAGGCGGUCCGCUAAGACAGAUGUGAAAUCCCCGGGCUUAACCUGGGAACUGCAUUUGUGACUGGCGGGCUAGAGUAUGGCAGAGGGGGGUAGAAUUCCACGUGUAGCAGUGAAAUGCGUAGAGAUGUGGAGGAAUACCGAUGGCGAAGGCAGCCCCCUGGGCCAAUACUGACGCUCAUGCACGAAAGCGUGGGGGAGCAAACAGGAUU
RNAcentral lists this ribosomal RNA (436 nucleotides) under uncultured bacterium. RNAcentral's name for it is "partial 16S ribosomal RNA". It matches the Rfam family "Bacterial small subunit ribosomal RNA", at positions 355 to 779 of the family's 1533-position model. The record is from RNAcentral.